Long non-coding RNA from Pipistrellus kuhlii (Kuhl's pipistrelle), 401 nucleotides. RefSeq lists it as uncharacterized. The transcript is spliced from 2 exons. Lineage: Eukaryota; Metazoa; Chordata; Mammalia; Chiroptera; Vespertilionidae. The record is from RefSeq and is a predicted model, not a curated record.
GGGGGCGGUGUGCAAGAAUGUGGCCUGAGACAGCUCUACUGUAUGCGUGGAUCCGUGUGUGUCUGGUGCCCGGAGCAGAGGAGCCGCGCAGGACGCGGAGAGCCCCGGCCUCGGGGGAGGUGGGCGCCCGCCCGCCCUCUCCGGGCAGCCGUCCCCUUCCCGGGGCGCUGCCGGGCACCCCGGGAGGCUGCCGGGGGACAGCGGAGGAAGGCUGCCGGAGUGAUAGCGGGCAGUAGUUGGAGGUUCUGCGGAGAAGACGGGGAGGCAGGCACAAAGAACAUUCCUGCCCGAUGUGCCUCUUUUCGAAAGGACUUCCUUCAAGCUUCCUAAGGACUGCAAGCUUCCAAAUGCCAAUGGGGGUGGGGGGGUGGGGAGAGAAACAGCUGAUGGGCUGGACGCCU